AGAGUUUGAUCAUGGCUCAGGACGAACGCUGGCGGCGUGCCUAAUACAUGCAAGUAGAACGCUGAAGAGAGGAGCUUGCUCUUCUUGGAUGAGUUGCGAACGGGUGAGUAACGCGUAGGUAACCUGCCUUGUAGCGGGGGAUAACUAUUGGAAACGAUAGCUAAUACCGCAUAACAAUGGAUGACACAUGUCAUUUAUUUGAAAGGGGCAAUUGCUCCACUACAAGAUGGACCUGCGUUGUAUUAGCUAGUAGGUGAGGUAAUGGCUCACCUAGGCGACGAUACAUAGCCGACCUGAGAGGGUGAUCGGCCACACUGGGACUGAGACACGGCCCAGACUCCUACGGGAGGCAGCAGUAGGGAAUCUUCGGCAAUGGGGGCAACCCUGACCGAGCAACGCCGCGUGAGUGAAGAAGGUUUUCGGAUCGUAAAGCUCUGUUGUAAGUCAAGAACGGGUGUGAGAGUGGAAAGUUCACACUGUGACGGUAGCUUACCAGAAAGGGACGGCUAACUACGUGCCAGCAGCCGCGGUAAUACGUAGGUCCCGAGCGUUGUCCGGAUUUAUUGGGCGUAAAGCGAGCGCAGGCGGUUUGAUAAGUCUGAAGUUAAAGGCUGUGGCUCAACCAUAGUUCGCUUUGGAAACUGUCAAACUUGAGUGCAGAAGGGGAGAGUGGAAUUCCAUGUGUAGCGGUGAAAUGCGUAGAUAUAUGGAGGAACACCGGUGGCGAAAGCGGCUCUCUGGUCUGUAACUGACGCUGAGGCUCGAAAGCGUGGGGAGCGAACAGGAUUAGAUACCCUGGUAGCCCACGCCGUAAACGAUGAGUGCUAGGUGUUGGAUCCUUUCCGGGAUUCAGUGCCGCAGCUAACGCAUUAAGCACUCCGCCUGGGGAGUACGACCGCAAGGUUGAAACUCAAAGGAAUUGACGGGGGCCCGCACAAGCGGUGGAGCAUGUGGUUUAAUUCGAAGCAACGCGAAGAACCUUACCAGGUCUUGACAUCCCGAUGCUAUUUCUAGAGAUAGAAAGUUACUUCGGUACAUCGGUGACAGGUGGUGCAUGGUUGUCGUCAGCUCGUGUCGUGAGAUGUUGGGUUAAGUCCCGCAACGAGCGCAACCCCUAUUGUUAGUUGCCAUCAUUCAGUUGGGCACUCUAGCGAGACUGCCGGUAAUAAACCGGAGGAAGGUGGGGAUGACGUCAAAUCAUCAUGCCCCUUAUGACCUGGGCUACACACGUGCUACAAUGGUUGGUACAACGAGUUGCGAGUCGGUGACGGCGAGCUAAUCUCUUAAAGCCAAUCUCAGUUCGGAUUGUAGGCUGCAACUCGCCUACAUGAAGUCGGAAUCGCUAGUAAUCGCGGAUCAGCACGCCGCGGUGAAUACGUUCCCGGGCCUUGUACACACCGCCCGUCACACCACGAGAGUUUGUAACACCCGAAGUCGGUGAGGUAACCUUUUGGAGCCAGCCGCCUAAGGUGGGACAGAUGAUUGGGGUGAAGUCGUAACAAGGUA
This 1506-nucleotide ribosomal RNA is filed under the name metagenome. RNAcentral describes it as "bacterial SSU rRNA". It matches the Rfam family "Bacterial small subunit ribosomal RNA". The record is from RNAcentral.